RNAcentral lists this ribosomal RNA (254 nucleotides) under uncultured bacterium. Its description in RNAcentral is "partial 16S ribosomal RNA". It matches the Rfam family "Bacterial small subunit ribosomal RNA", at positions 524 to 776 of the family's 1533-position model. The record is from RNAcentral.
CACGUAGGGUGCGAGCGUUGUCCGGAAUUAUUGGGCGUAAAGAGCUCGUAGGCGGUGUGUCGCGUCGGCCGUGAAAACCUACAGCUUAACUGUGGGCUUGCGGUCGAUACGGGCAUCACUGGAGUUCGGCAGGGGAGACUGGAAUUCCUGGUGUAGCGGUGAAAUGCGUAGAUAUCUGGAGGAACACCGGUGGCGAAGGCGGCAUCCUGGACCGGCAUUGACGCUGAGGCGCGAAAGCUAGGGGAGCAAACGGG